RNAcentral lists this ribosomal RNA (372 nucleotides) under uncultured organism. RNAcentral's name for it is "bacterial SSU rRNA". It matches the Rfam family "Bacterial small subunit ribosomal RNA", at positions 526 to 896 of the family's 1533-position model. The record is from RNAcentral.
CAGAGGGGGCAAGCGUUGUUCGGAAUUACUGGGCGUAAAGGGCGCGUAGGCGGCCUGCUAAGUCGAACGUGAAAUCCCUGGGCUCAACCCAGGAACUGCGUCCGAUACUGGUUGGCUUGAAUCCGGGAGAGGGAUGUGGAAUUCCAGGUGUAGCGGUGAAAUGCGUAGAUAUCUGGAGGAACACCGGUGGCGAAGGCGACAUCCUGGACCGGCAUUGACGCUGAGGCGCGAAAGCCAGGGGAGCAAACGGGAUUGGAUACCCCGGUAGUCCUGGCCCUAAACGAUGAAUGCUUGGUGUGGUGGGUAUCGAUCCCUACCGUGCCGAAGCUAACGCAUUAAGCAUUCCGCCUGGGGAGUACGGUCGCAAGGCUG